CAGGGUAUGACAAAUUACACCAAAUUGUAUAUAGACCAACUUACAGUUUUGAGUCUCAAAGAGCCUUCAACAAAUAAGAGCUUUGCAUGAAUACUGUUUAUGUAUACAACCCUAUUUGUGAUGCAUGUGGAGGGUGAGUUGAUAACAGAAGCAGAGAUGUCAAGAGCAUUCAUUUCACCAACCGUUGUGAACAAAAAGAGAACAAGUACAUGCUGGGUGCUUGCGCACUAAUGUUUCAGCUCUGUGAAUAUGAACUUCAUCACUUGUGCUACUGUAGAUUACUCGCAUAGAUGCUGUUGGACCAUUGAACAG
This 312-nucleotide unclassified non-coding RNA is filed under the name Hevea brasiliensis (rubber tree). Lineage: Eukaryota; Viridiplantae; Streptophyta; Magnoliopsida; Malpighiales; Euphorbiaceae. The record is from RNAcentral.